GACGAACCGUGCGAACGUUAUUCGGAAUCACUGGGCUUAAAGGGUGCGUAGGCGGGUUGCCAAGUCUGUGGUGAAAUCCUCCGGCUCAACCGGAGAACUGCCUCGGAUACUGGGUGCCUCGAGGGUGGUAGGGGUAUGCGGAACUAUCGGUGGAGCGGUGAAAUGCGUUGAUAUCGAUAGGAACUCCGGUGGCGAAGGCGGCAUACUGGACCACCUCUGACGCUGAGGCGCGAAAGCCAGGGGAGCAAACGGG
Molecule: ribosomal RNA, 253 nt
Filed under: uncultured bacterium
Lineage: Bacteria
Description: partial 16S ribosomal RNA
Rfam family: Bacterial small subunit ribosomal RNA
Source: RNAcentral